GCGUCAGUAGCUCAGUUGGAUAGAGCAACGCCCUUCUAAGGCGUGGGUCGGGGGUUCGAAUCCCUCCUGGCGUACCA
This 77-nucleotide transfer RNA is filed under the name Clostridiales bacterium. Its description in RNAcentral is "tRNA-Arg". It matches the Rfam family "tRNA". Rfam says of the family: Transfer RNA (tRNA) molecules are approximately 80 nucleotides in length. Their secondary structure includes four short double-helical elements and three loops (D, anti-codon, and T loops). Further hydrogen bonds mediate the characteristic L-shaped molecular structure. tRNAs have two regions of fundamental functional importance: the anti-codon, which is responsible for specific mRNA codon recognition, and the 3' end, to which the tRNAs corresponding amino acid is attached (by aminoacyl-tRNA synthetases). tRNAs cope with the degeneracy of the genetic code in two manners: having more than one tRNA (with a specific anti-codon) for a particular amino acid; and 'wobble' base-pairing, i.e. permitting non-standard base-pairing at the 3rd anti-codon position. The record is from RNAcentral. Lineage: Bacteria; Bacillati; Bacillota; Clostridia; Eubacteriales. RNAcentral also lists the same sequence under 1 other name.